UGGGGAAUUUUGCACAAUGGGGGAAACCCUGAUGCAGCGACGCCGCGUGAUUUAGAAGGCCUUCGGGUUGUAAAAAUCUUUUCUAUGGGAAGAAAAUGACAGUACCAUAGGAAUAAGGACCGGCUAAUUACGUGCCAGCAGCCGCGGUAAUACGUAAGGUCCGAGCGUUGUCCGGAAUCAUUGGGCGUAAAGGGUACGUAGGCGGGUAAGCAAGUUAGAAGUGAAAUCCUAUAGCUCAACUAUAGUAAGCUUUUAAAACUGCUCAUCUUUAGGGAAGGAAAGGAAAGUGGAAUUCCUAGUGUAGCGGUGAAAUUCGCAGAUAUUAGGAGGAAUACCGGUGGCGAAGGCGAAUUUCUGGCCAUAACCUGACGCUGAGGUAAGAAAGCGUGGGUAGCAAACAGG
Molecule: ribosomal RNA, 402 nt
Filed under: bacterium
Lineage: Bacteria
Description: partial 16S ribosomal RNA
Rfam family: Bacterial small subunit ribosomal RNA
Source: RNAcentral